Molecule: long non-coding RNA, 298 nt
Filed under: Elaeis guineensis (African oil palm)
Lineage: Eukaryota; Viridiplantae; Streptophyta; Magnoliopsida; Arecales; Arecaceae
Description: long non-coding RNA (EGUI_LNC049869)
Source: RNAcentral
CACUGUGGAAAUUGUAUCCUAAAGUCAAUCGUGUGACGAUUGAGUUCAUCCUUGUAUUUGAAUUAUUGAUUAUUGAAUAAUAAUUAUUCUGAUAUUUUUCAUCAUAAAAUGACAUCUUUCUUGAACUCUUGUACUGUGAUGAAGUCCCUAGAACUAUGCUAAUAUACGAUAAAGAGAGGAUUUAUCGUAUAGUUCUUAAAUAAGUUUGCGACCAAAUGAUACAUCAUUACGGGAUGAUGACAUUUAUCGAGUGAAGGUUGUUAUGUGCCAUAUGAGUUAGUUGUCCUCUUAACCAAGG